GACGAACACUAGCUACAGGCUUAACACAUGCAAGUCGAGGGGUAACAAGAGAAAAGCUUGCUUUUCUUGUUGACGACCGGCGCACGGGUGAGUAACGCGUAUCCAACCUGCCUAUAACUAGGGAAUAACCUUGCGAAAGUAAGACUAAUACCCUAUGAUUUCCUUUGAUGACAUCAGAUUAGGAAUAAAGAUUUAUCGGUUAUAGAUGGGGAUGCGUCUGAUUAGCUUGUUGGCGGGGUAACGGCCCACCAAGGCAACGAUCAGUAGGGGUUCUGAGAGGAAGGUCCCCCACAUUGGAACUGAGACACGGUCCAAACUCCUACGGGAGGCAGCAGUGAGGAAUAUUGGUCAAUGGGCGGAAGCCUGAACCAGCCAAGUAGCGUGCAGGAUGACGGCCCUAUGGGUUGUAAACUGCUUUUAUACAGGAAUAAAGUUAGCCACGUGUGGUUAUUUGUAGGUACUGUAUGAAUAAGGACCGGCUAACUCCGUGCCAGCCGCCGCGGUAA
This 506-nucleotide ribosomal RNA is filed under the name uncultured bacterium. Its description in RNAcentral is "partial 16S ribosomal RNA". It matches the Rfam family "Bacterial small subunit ribosomal RNA", at positions 28 to 523 of the family's 1533-position model. The record is from RNAcentral.